RNAcentral lists this non-coding RNA (30 nucleotides) under Rattus norvegicus (Norway rat). The record is from RNAcentral. Lineage: Eukaryota; Metazoa; Chordata; Mammalia; Rodentia; Muridae.
UGAUAAGCAAGAGGGCUUCGGCCCAGCGAU